Molecule: ribosomal RNA, 715 nt
Filed under: uncultured Bacteroidales bacterium
Lineage: Bacteria; Pseudomonadati; Bacteroidota; Bacteroidia; Bacteroidales
Description: bacterial SSU rRNA
Rfam family: Bacterial small subunit ribosomal RNA
Source: RNAcentral
UACAGGCUUAACACAUGCAAGUCGAGGGGCAGCAUGGUCUUAGCUUGCUAAGGCCGAUGGCGACCGGCGCACGGGUGAGUAACACGUAUCCAACCUGCCGUCUACUCUUGGACAGCCUUCUGAAAGGAAGAUUAAUACAAGAUGGCAUCAUGAGUCCGCAUGUUCACAUGAUUAAAGGUAUUCCGGUAGACGAUGGGGAUGCGUUCCAUUAGAUAGUAGGCGGGGUAACGGCCCACCUAGUCUUCGAUGGAUAGGGGUUCUGAGAGGAAGGUCCCCCACAUUGGAACUGAGACACGGUCCAAACUCCUACGGGAGGCAGCAGUGAGGAAUAUUGGUCAAUGGGCGAGAGCCUGAACCAGCCAAGUAGCGUGAAGGAUGACUGCCCUAUGGGUUGUAAACUUCUUUUAUAAAGGAAUAAAGUCGGGUAUGGAUACCCGUUUGCAUGUACUUUAUGAAUAAGGAUCGGCUAACUCCGUGCCAGCAGCCGCGGUAAUACGGAGGAUCCGAGCGUUAUCCGGAUUUAUUGGGUUUAAAGGGAGUGUAGAUGGAUAUUUAAGUCAGUUGUGAAAGUUUGCGGCUCAACCGUAAAAUUGCAGUUGAUACUGGAUAUCUUGAGUGCAGUUGAGGCAGGCGGAAUUCGUGGUGUAGCGGUGAAAUGCUUAGAUAUCACGAAGAACUCCGAUUGCGAAGGCAGCCUGCUAAGCUGCAACUGACA